CGAGUUAUCUGAACCUUCGGGGAACGAUAACGGCGUCGAGCGGCGGACGGGUGAGUAAUGCCUAGGAAAUUGCCCUGAUGUGGGGGAUAACCAUUGGAAACGAUGGCUAAUACCGCAUGAUGCCUACGGGCCAAAGAGGGGGACCUUCGGGCCUCUCGCGUCAGGAUAUGCCUAGGUGGGAUUAGCUAGUUGGUGAGGUAAGGGCUCACCAAGGCGACGAUCCCUAGCUGGUCUGAGAGGAUGAUCAGCCACACUGGAACUGAGACACGGUCCAGACUCCUACGGGAGGCAGCAGUGGGGAAUAUUGCACAAUGGGCGCAAGCCUGAUGCAGCCAUGCCGCGUGUGUGAAGAAGGCCUUCGGGUUGUAAAGCACUUUCAGUCGUGAGGAAGGUGGUGUAGUUAAUAGCUGCAUUAUUUGACGUUAGCGACAGAAGAAGCACCGGCUAACUCCGUGCCAGCAGCCGCGGUAAUACGGAGGGUGCGAGCGUUAAUCGGAAUUACUGGGCGUAAAGCGCAUGCAGGUGGUUUGUUAAGUCAGAUGUGAAAGCCCGGGGCUCAACCUCGGAAUAGCAUUUGAAACUGGCAGACUAGAGUACUGUAGAGGGGGGUAGAAUUUCAGGUGUAGCGGUGAAAUGCGUA
Molecule: ribosomal RNA, 640 nt
Filed under: Vibrio sp.
Lineage: Bacteria; Pseudomonadati; Pseudomonadota; Gammaproteobacteria; Vibrionales; Vibrionaceae
Description: bacterial SSU rRNA
Rfam family: Bacterial small subunit ribosomal RNA
Source: RNAcentral